AAGUCACACACCAUCACUUCCACCAUGUCCCACUGGUCACAGGUCAGAGUGAGUGCUCUAGAUCACCACGCAGCUCUCCUCCAAGCGGCAAUUCCGGUCCAAGCUCCUUCCAUCUCAUGACUCCACCAUCUUCACCUUUGGCCUCCAAGGUCACCAAUAUCCACCAGGAGCAAGAGGAGAGGGCGUGGAGGAAGAAGACUGGCAGCUCAUCGAGCGUGCACUGCAGGAAGGAUCCUCAGUUCAGCACAGCAGCAGGUUGGUGGGAG
Molecule: long non-coding RNA, 266 nt
Organism: Orcinus orca (killer whale)
Lineage: Eukaryota; Metazoa; Chordata; Mammalia; Artiodactyla; Delphinidae
Exons: 3
Source: RefSeq, a predicted model, not a curated record